ACGAGGUCCGUGGUCAUCUUGUGCAAGAAGUCCUGCCGGGCGUCGCGCACCCGGGAGUGCGACCGCGCGAGCUUCCGCCUGGUCUUCUUGCGGUUCUGGGAACCUUUGAUCUUGCGGGCCAUCCUCCGCUGGUACCGUCUGAGCCGCUCCUCGUGACGCUGCAUGUGUUUCGGGUGAGCAACGCGACCACCGUCGCUGGUGACCGCGAAGUCCGUCAACCCCAGAUCAACACCUACCGUCUUUUCGGUAGGUAGCGCGGGAGCAGGGUCGUCCUCAUCGACUACGAGUGUGACGAACCAGCGGCCGUCAGCCUCCCGAGACACGAUCACCGUUGUCGGACUCAGAACCGCCAGGUCCACAUUCGGCCACGACCACACCACAUCCAGAGGCCUGACGGUCUUGGCUAGCCACAAUCGGCCGCCGCGCAUCCGAAACGCCGAGCGGGUGUAGUGCGCGGACUGACGUCCAGUACGAGCCUUGUAACGCGGAUAGUGUGCCCGCCCAGCGAAGAAGUUGGUGAACGCGGCGUGCUGAUGCCGCAGCGUUUGCUGCAGCGGAACUGACGACACCUCAUUCAGAAACAGCAACUCGGGGU
This 595-nucleotide antisense RNA is filed under the name Actinomadura madurae. RNAcentral describes it as "Saccharopolyspora sRNA 389". It matches the Rfam family "Saccharopolyspora sRNA 389". The record is from Rfam by way of RNAcentral. Lineage: Bacteria; Bacillati; Actinomycetota; Actinomycetes; Streptosporangiales; Thermomonosporaceae.